GAGUUGCGAACGGGUGAGUAACGCGUAGGUAACCUGCCUAUUAGAGGGGGAUAACUAUUGGAAACGAUAGCUAAUACCGCAUAACAGUAUGUAACACAUGUUAGAUGCUUGAAAGAUGCAAUUGCAUCGCUAGUAGAUGGACCUGCGUUGUAUUAGCUAGUAGGUAGGGUAAUGGCCUACCUAGGCGACGAUACAUAGCCGACCUGAGAGGGUGAUCGGCCACACUGGGACUGAGACACGGCCCAGACUCCUACGGGAGGCAGCAGUAGGGAAUCUUCGGCAAUGGGGGGAACCCUGACCGAGCAACGCCGCGUGAGUGAAGAAGGUUUUCGGAUCGUAAAGCUCUGUUGUUAAGGAAGAACGAGUGUGAGAAUGGAAAGUUCAUACUGUGACGGUACUUAACCAGAAAGGGACGGCUAACUACGUGCCAGCAGCCGCGGUAAUACGUAGGUCCCGAGCGUUGUCCGGAUUUAUUGGGCGUAAAGCGAGCGCAGGCGGUUAGAAAAGUCUGAAGUGAAAGGCAGUGGCUCAACCAUUGUAGGCUUUGGAAACUGUUUAACUUGAGUGCAGAAGGGGAGAGUGGAAUUCCAUGUGUAGCGGUGAAAUGCGUAGAUAUAUGGAGGAACACCGGUGGCGAAAGCGGCUCUCUGGUCUGUAACUGACGCUGAGGCUCGAAAGCGUGGGGAGCGAACAGGAUUAGAUACCCUGGUAGUCCACGCCGUAAACGAUGAGUGCUAGGUGUUAGGUCCUUUCCGGGACUUAGUGCCGCAGCUAACGCAUUAAGCACUCCGCCUGGGGAGUACGACCGCAAGGUUGAAACUCAAAGGAAUUGACGGGGGCCCGCACAAGCGGUGGAGCAUGUGGUUUAAUUCGAAGCAACGCGAAGAACCUUACCAGGUCUUGACAUCCCGAUGCUAUUUCUAGAGAUAGGAAGUUUCUUCGGAACAUCGGUGACAGGUGGUGCAUGGUUGUCGUCAGCUCGUGUCGUGAGAUGUUGGGUUAAGUCCCGCAACGAGCGCAACCCUUAUUGUUAGUUGCCAUCAUUGAGUUGGGCACUCUAGCGAGACUGCCGGUAAUAAACCGGAGGAAGGUGGGGAUGACGUCAAAUCAUCAUGCCCCUUAUGACCUGGGCUACACACGUGCUACAAUGGCUGGUACAACGAGUCGCAAGCCGGUGACGGCAAGCUAAUCUCUGAAAGCCAGUCUCAGUUCGGAUUGUAGGCUGCAACUCGCCUACAUGAAGUCGGAAUC
This 1251-nucleotide ribosomal RNA is filed under the name Streptococcus anginosus. RNAcentral's name for it is "bacterial SSU rRNA". It matches the Rfam family "Bacterial small subunit ribosomal RNA", at positions 93 to 1333 of the family's 1533-position model. The record is from RNAcentral. Lineage: Bacteria; Bacillati; Bacillota; Bacilli; Lactobacillales; Streptococcaceae. RNAcentral also lists the same sequence under 1 other name.